Molecule: ribosomal RNA, 253 nt
Filed under: uncultured bacterium
Lineage: Bacteria
Description: partial 16S ribosomal RNA
Rfam family: Bacterial small subunit ribosomal RNA
Source: RNAcentral
UACGUAGGGAGCAAGCGUUGUCCGGAAUCAUUGGGCGUAAAGCGCGCGUAGGUGGCCCCAUAAGUCCGCUGUGAAAGUCGAAGGUUCAACCUUCGAAAGCCGGCCGAUACUGUCGGACUAGAGUUCGGAAGAGGCAAGUGGAAUUCCCGGUGUAGCGGUGAAAUGCGCAGAUAUCGGGAGGAACACCAAUUGCGAAGGCAGCUUGCUGGGACGAGUACUGACGCUGAGGCGCGAAAGCGUGGGGAGCAACAGG